GAAACAAUGUCCUAUUCUUUCCG
This 23-nucleotide small nuclear RNA is filed under the name Arabidopsis thaliana (thale cress). RNAcentral's name for it is "snRNA_09743". Lineage: Eukaryota; Viridiplantae; Streptophyta; Magnoliopsida; Brassicales; Brassicaceae. The record is from RNAcentral.